RNAcentral lists this ribosomal RNA (251 nucleotides) under uncultured bacterium. RNAcentral's name for it is "partial 16S ribosomal RNA". It matches the Rfam family "Bacterial small subunit ribosomal RNA", at positions 57 to 305 of the family's 1533-position model. The record is from RNAcentral.
GCAAGUCGAGGGGUAACAUGAGUACUUGUACUUGAUGACGACCGGCGCACGGGUGCGUAACGCGUAUGCAACCUACCCUUUACUGGAGGAUAGCCCGGGGAAACUCGGAUUAAUACUCCAUAGUACUAUAAGAUCUCAUGAUUUAAUAGUUAAAGAUUUAUUGGUAAAGGAUGGGCAUGCGUAUCAUUAGUUUGUUGGUGAGGUAACGGCUCACCAAGACUACGAUGAUUAGGGGGCCUGAGAGGGUGAUC